This 497-nucleotide ribosomal RNA is filed under the name uncultured bacterium. Its description in RNAcentral is "partial 16S ribosomal RNA". It matches the Rfam family "Bacterial small subunit ribosomal RNA", at positions 28 to 507 of the family's 1533-position model. The record is from RNAcentral.
GAUGAACGCUGGCGGCGUGCCUAAGACAUGCAAGUCGAGCGAACGGACGAGAAGCUUGCUGCUGAGAUGUUAGCGGCGGGCGGGUGAGUAACACGUGGAUAACAUACUGAUAAGACGGGGAUAAGUUCGGGAAAGCGGAGCAAAUAGCGGGUAAUAGUGUGGACGGAAGGGUUCAAAAGGAAAGGACGGAGUUGCUGUGACUGAUAGAUGGAUCCGCGCUGCAUGAGCUAGUGGGUAAGGUAAAGGCUUACCAAGGCAACGAUGCAUAGCCGACCUGAGAGGUUGAUCGGCCACACUGGCACUGAGCCACCGUCCAGACUCCUACGGGAGGCAGCAGUCGGGCAUCUUCCGCAAUGGGCGGAAGCCUGACGGAGCACCGCCGCCUGAGUGAUGAAGGUCUUCGGAUCGUAAAACUCUGUUAUUAGGGAAGAACCUAUGUGUAAGUAACUGUGCACAUCUUGACGUUACCUAAUCAGAAAGCCACGGCUAACUACGUG